Molecule: long non-coding RNA, 1643 nt
Organism: Nomascus leucogenys (northern white-cheeked gibbon)
Lineage: Eukaryota; Metazoa; Chordata; Mammalia; Primates; Hylobatidae
Exons: 2
Source: RefSeq, a predicted model, not a curated record
ACAAGAUUCAUACGGUGUCUUUCAUUUCAGUGCCUAUUACUCAUUUCAAUGAUUCAGCCGACCUAGACAGCAAAUGGACAUGAGAUGUGUGGAGAAAUCUACUGAAAAUGGGAUUGAUUGGGUUUUAAGAAACUAGAACUUAAGGCUGGAUGAGGCAGCAUUCUGAGAAUUUUAAGUUCCCAAGGCAUAAUGUUCAACAUUUACUGUCAAACCCAAUUUCUGGCUAAGCCAUUUAUGCUUUCUGAAUAAGCACUUUAAUUUUCAUUCACAUCUACUCACCUUUAAAAAAAUGGAAGUAUGCACCAAUUUUUAAAGAAAUAGGACCAACCUUGGAAACUUAUAAUUAUGAAUCUUUAUAUUUUUAUGAUAGUUGAUAGUUUACAAAGCUAGUUUCACUUGAUCUUUACAAAAACCCUAUGGGGUUAUAUUUUUAUUACCCACAUUUUAUAGAUAAGGAAUUAAAUCUCACAAAGGUUUGAAGACUUUCCCAAAAGUGUCAUAGGACAACUCAAAGUAGUUAACCCUAAGGCCCUGUAUCAGAAUGAUCACCUGCCUUUCCCCCACCAACCCACAUUCACCAGGUAGUGUCCAAGAGGCUCUGCCUCUUUCUCAAUGCCAUCGUUGGGUUGCCUCAUCCUACCUGCAAUGCUUACCUUCAAAGCAGGUGCUGAUAAUGUGUUUGGAUUUUGGAGGCUUGAUUAUGAAAUAAAACUGAAUAGUGCUGGACACAUGUUGAGUUUCAGUUUUCUGACCCUUCUCUUUUGAGACUCCAGGUCCAACCCUCAUCUGUACCUUCAGAUUCAUGGACACCACUGAUGAGGUUCUGGCUUGCUUCAUUUUCAUUCAUGACUUUGACUCCCAGACCAUAGUUUGAUCCUGGUUCUUCCAGCGUUGAUCUAGAAACAUCCUGACCUCUAAGGCACCAUCAAACCAAUUUUGUCCAAGAAGUGUAAAUAUCAUUGCCCAAAACAGAUCUAGCAACAACAAUUAACAUUUGCUGACCACUUACCAUGUGCCAAGCAUGAUUUCAAAACAGGCCACGCAAGAAUAAAUAGACACUAAACAAUUGGAUGUGAAAAAGAAGACAUUCCCAAAUGGUUCUCAAGAAGCCAACUGGAUGCUGUGUUCCUUGCAUGGUGCUAAGGGGCUCAAGCUGCCAUGGAUGCCCUUUUCGGGCCUUUCAGUAUGCAAAUAUGUACCAGGAGGGAAUAAUGUUUCCAUGGGAUGAAGUAACCAUAAUGUUGUACGUGGACGGCUAAUUGUUUUCAUCGCACAUGCCAAAUCCAACUGAUUAGUCAGGGCCUGGAGUCUGUUUGACGAAUGAGGAAAUCUUGCCACGGUCCAGAGAGGCAGCUGAAUAAUAGCACGAAUUUCCCAUCUCUGACAUCUCAGGUGUGAUGGGACAUGUGCAAACAACAUUGGCUCCUAAUCUGCUCUCAGUUAGCCAUGAAACUAAGGGCUAGCCUGUUGCCUCCCUGGGUCUUGGGUUCCUUAUCAAAUAAUAGUUUGGCUGGACUGUCCCUCUGGUCACUUCUAAAAUUCCUUUUCUUUAUCCAGCAGGAUUCUUGACCAAUCAGUACCAAGUCAAACCCUCACCCUUCCAUUUACCUUCACACUGCUGAAAUAAACUUUAUGCUCCCUAA